RNAcentral lists this ribosomal RNA (253 nucleotides) under uncultured prokaryote. RNAcentral's name for it is "partial 16S ribosomal RNA". It matches the Rfam family "Bacterial small subunit ribosomal RNA", at positions 524 to 776 of the family's 1533-position model. The record is from RNAcentral.
UACAGAGGGUGCGAGCGUUAAUCGGAAUUACUGGGCGUAAAGGGUGUGUAGGUGGUUGGGUAAGUUAGAUGUGAAAUCCCCGGGCUUAACCUGGGAACUGCGUUUAAAACUGCUCAGCUAGAGUAUUGCAGAGGGUAGUGGAAUUUCCAGUGUAGCGGUGAAAUGCGUAGAUAUUGGAAGGAACACCAGUGGCGAAGGCGACUACCUGGGUAAAUACUGACACUGAGACACGAAAGCAUGGGGAGCAAACAGG